GUGCUCACUUUGGCAGCACAUAUACUAAAAAUUGGAGCGAAACAGAGAAGAUUAGCCUGGCCCUUGUGCAAGGAUGACACACAACUUGGUGAGGUGUUCCGUAUUUUU
This 108-nucleotide small nuclear RNA is filed under the name Propithecus coquereli (Coquerel's sifaka). Lineage: Eukaryota; Metazoa; Chordata; Mammalia; Primates; Indriidae. The record is from RNAcentral.